AUUGAACGCUGGCGGCAGGCCUAACACAUGCAAGUCGAGCGGAUGAAGGGAGCUUGCUCCUGGAUUCAGCGGCGGACGGGUGAGUAAUGCCUAGGAAUCUGCCUGGUAGUGGGGAUAACGUCCGGAAACGGGCGCUAAUACCGCAUACGUCCUGAGGGAGAAAGUGGGGGAUCUUCGGACCUCACGCUAUCAGAUGAGCCUAGGUCGGAUUAGCUAGUUGGUGGGGUAAAGGCCUACCAAGGCGACGAUCCGUAACUGGUCUGAGAGGAUGAUCAGUCACACUGGAACUGAGACACGGUCCAGACUCCUACGGGAGGCAGCAGUGGGGAAUAUUGGACAAUGGGCGAAAGCCUGAUCCAGCCAUGCCGCGUGUGUGAAGAAGGUCUUCGGAUUGUAAAGCACUUUAAGUUGGGAGGAAGGGCAGUAAGUUAACACCUUGCUGUUUUGACGUUACCAACAGAAUAAGCACCGGCUAACUUCGUG
RNAcentral lists this ribosomal RNA (483 nucleotides) under uncultured bacterium. RNAcentral's name for it is "partial 16S ribosomal RNA". It matches the Rfam family "Bacterial small subunit ribosomal RNA", at positions 30 to 507 of the family's 1533-position model. The record is from RNAcentral.